This 253-nucleotide ribosomal RNA is filed under the name uncultured bacterium. Its description in RNAcentral is "partial 16S ribosomal RNA". It matches the Rfam family "Bacterial small subunit ribosomal RNA", at positions 524 to 776 of the family's 1533-position model. The record is from RNAcentral.
UACGAAGGGGGCUAGCGUUGUUCGGAAUUACUGGGCGUAAAGGGCGCGUAGGCGGUGCUCUAAGUCGGAUGUGAAAACUCUGGGCUCAACCCAGAGCCUGCAUCCGAAACUGGAGUGCUAGAGUUCUGGAGGGGGUAGCGGAAUUCCUGGUGUAGCGGUGAAAUGCGUAGAUAUCAGGAGGAACACCGGUGGCGAAGGCGGCUACCUGGACAGAAACUGACGCUGAGGCGCGAAAGCUAGGGGAGCAAACAGG